GACGAACGCUGGCGGCGUGCCUAAUACAUGCAAGUAGAACGCUGAGGACUGGUGCUUGCACCGGUUCAAGGAGUUGCGAACGGGUGAGUAACGCGUAGGUAACCUACCUCAUAGCGGGGGAUAACUAUUGGAAACGAUAGCUAAUACCGCAUGACAAUGGAGGACCCAUGUCUUUCAUUUAAAAGGUGCAACUGCAUCACUAUGAGAUGGACCUGCGUUGUAUUAGCUAGUUGGUAAGGUAGCGGCUUACCAAGGCGAUGAUAGGUAGCCGGCCUGAGAGGGUGGACGGCCACAAGGGGACUGAGAUACGGCCCUU
RNAcentral lists this ribosomal RNA (316 nucleotides) under uncultured bacterium. Its description in RNAcentral is "bacterial SSU rRNA". It matches the Rfam family "Bacterial small subunit ribosomal RNA", at positions 28 to 334 of the family's 1533-position model. The record is from RNAcentral.